UACGAGGGGGGCGAGCGUUGUUCGGAAUUAUUGGGCGUAAAGGGUGCGUAGGCGGUUUGGUAAGUCGGGUGUGAAAGCCCCGGGCUCAACCUGGGAAUUGCAUUCGAGACUGCAUAGCUAGGGUGCGGAAGAGGGAAGCGGAAUUUCCGGUGUAGCGGUGAAAUGCGUAGAUAUCGGAAGGAACACCAGUGGCGAAAGCGGCUUCCUGGUCCAGCACCGACGUUCAGGCACGAAAGCGUGGGGAGCAAACAGG
RNAcentral lists this ribosomal RNA (253 nucleotides) under uncultured bacterium. RNAcentral's name for it is "partial 16S ribosomal RNA". It matches the Rfam family "Bacterial small subunit ribosomal RNA", at positions 524 to 776 of the family's 1533-position model. The record is from RNAcentral.